This is a long non-coding RNA of Triticum aestivum (bread wheat), 1269 nucleotides long. RefSeq lists it as uncharacterized. The record is from RefSeq and is a predicted model, not a curated record. NCBI's taxonomy places the organism in Eukaryota, Viridiplantae, Streptophyta, Magnoliopsida, Poales, Poaceae. The transcript has 4 exons.
CUGUUGUUCAAGCUUCAAAUAUAUCUUGUUUAUUAUCUUUCCUUUUCUGCAAACUAAUGGACCAUAUUUCUACUCAAACAGAGGCAAAGACGUCUUCUUAAUGUUGCAGAAGUUUGGAGGCAUCAAGGAAUGCAUCCUCCUCUUGCUAUGCAAACUGAGGAAAUCAAAGUGAUGGGAAAGCAUUGUACAACAGCUGUUGACUUCAGGAUAUUUCAUGGAUGAGUUAUACUCCUUGACUCCCAUGAGUGUAUCAUCCGCUUGCUAUGCAAACCGAGGAAAUCAAAGUGGCAAAGCAAUUGAAUGCAUGUGUUGACUUCAGGAUAUCUCAAGGACGAGUUAGAAUCUAUGACGCUCAGGGAUGCAUCCUCUGCUUGCUACACAAACUGAGGAAACCAAAGCAGCAAAGCAUUGUACUGCAGAUGUCGACUUCGGAAUAUCUCAUGAACCAGUUAUACUCCUUGAUGCUCACGUAAAAUUAACUUAUUUUGCUCUCUGCAAUUGCAUAAUAGAACGGUUGAGCUAAACAUCUCGCUGCUGAUAUUUUAAAAUGUAUUGCAACCACUAUACAACCCAUCCAUCGUAAUUGAUAUGUUGAGACUGGAUCGUAGUAGUUGUUCUGCCUCAUCUAUCACUAUCUGCGGGCUUGCUUUGAUUAUGUUUCUCCCAACUUUCUGUAACUAAAAAGCAGCCUGUAAAUGUAGCUUGAAUAAAAAUGGUACCUUUCAGUUUUGUGCAAGUUCAAAGUAUUAGUAGUUUUAGUUUGUCCAAUUUUUGCAGGGAUAUUGUGUGAGGUCUGGUACAAACUUUUAAGACAAUCACUUAAUACAUUCAUGGGAUCACCAACUUUUGGCGUUUGUUGAUACUAGCUAGGUGGGGCCAUGAAGACACGAUUCAUGGGAUUACCAACUGCUGGUAUAGCUUAUUCUUUUCUGUUGCAGCUAUUCCGGAGAAGUUUAGAGCUUCUGCAACCUUUUGAAGACACGAUUUGUAGUUGCGGAGAUGAAACAAUCAAUCAGUUGCGAUGCAUUACAUAAUCUUUUUGCUUUGGACAUUGAUGGGUAUUAUUUUGCCACAAAGGACAGGAGCUGUGCCAUUUGACUCGAAGGAUAAAGCGUUCAUCACAAGGGGGUGGUCUUUAGGAUGUACACAAAAGAGGAAAUUUCCUUUUGUAUAGAACCAAAUUAUAUGAUUUAAUUGACCAUUCUCUUGUACACAAUGUUUAUCAUGUAUUAAGUACAUUUUAUUGUCAAAUAUGUUUACUUUUUUUUA